AAGGUUCGAUCAUGGCUCAGAUUGAACGCUGGCGGGAUGCUUUACACAUGCAAGUCGAACGGCAGCACGGACUUCGGUCUGGUGGCAGUGGCGAACGGGUGAGUAAUGUAUCGGAACGUGCCUAGUAGCGGGGGAUAACUACGCGAAAGCGCCGCUCAUCCACGCCGCCCUUCGGAGAAAGCGGGGGGACCUUCAGGCCUCCGCACUAUUAGAGCAGCCGAUGUGGAUUAGCUGGUUGGUGGGAGUAACGGCUCGCAAGGCGACGAUCCGUAGCUGGUUUGAGAGGACGACCAGCCACGCUGGGACCUGAGACACGGCCCAGGCGCUCCUACAGGAGGCAGCGGUGAGGGAAUUUUGGACAAUGGGAAACCUGAUCCAGCCAUCCCGCGUGUCUGCGAUGAAGGCCUUCGGGUUGGCGGCACUUUUGGCAGGAAAGAAACGGCACGGGAUAAUACCCCGUGCAACUGACGUACCUGCAGAAUGGCACCGGCUAACUACGUGCGCGCAACAGCCGCGGUAAUACAUGGAGGAUGCAAGCGUUAAUCUGAAUACUGGGCGUAAAGCGUGCGCAGGCGGUUCGGAAGAAAGAUGUGAAAUCCCAGAGCUUAACUUUGGAACUGCAUUUUUAACUACCGAGCUAGAGAUGUGUCCAGAGGGAGGUGGAAUUCCGCGUGUAGCAACGUGAAAUGCGUAGAUAUGCGGAGGAACACCGAUGGCGAAGGCAGCCUCCUGGGAUAACACUGACGCUCAUGCACACAUGUGCGAGCAAACAGGAUUAGAUGCCCUGGUAGUCCACGCCCUAAACGAUGUCAACCUUCCAAGCUGUUGGGGCCUUCGGGCCUUGGUGACGCAGCUAACGCGUGAAGUUGACCGCCUGGGAGUACGGUCGCAAGAUUAAAACUCAAAAUUGACGGGGACCCGCACAAGCGGUGGAUGAUGUGGGUCAAUUCGAUGCAACGCGAAAAACCUUACCUACCCUUGACAUGUCUGGAACCAGAUUUGGGAGUGCUCGCAAAGAAACCGGAACACAGGUGCUGCAUGUAAGCUGUCGUCAGCUCGUGUCGUGAGAUGUUGGGUUAAGUCCCGCAACAGCGCAACCCUUGUCAUUAGUUGCUACGAAAGGCACUCUAAUGGGCUUGCCGGUGACAAGCCGGAGGAAGAUGGGGAUGACGUCAAGUCCUCAUGGCCCAUAUGGGUAGGGCUUCACACGUCAUACAAUGGUCGGGACAGAGGGUCGCCAACCCGCGAGGGGAGCCAAUCCCAGAAGCCCGAUCGUAGUCCGGAUCGCAGUCUGCAACUCGACUGCGUGAAGUCGGAAUCGCUAGUAAUCGCGGAUCAGCAUGUCGGUGAAUACGUUCCCAGGUCUUGUACACACCGCCCGUCACACCAUGGGUGGGUUUUGCAAGUAGUUAGCCCUAUGUAUAAGGAGGGCGAUUAUACCACGGUAGGAUUCUGUGACUGGGGUGAAGUCAUGCAGGUAA
This 1481-nucleotide ribosomal RNA is filed under the name uncultured Bordetella sp. RNAcentral's name for it is "partial 16S-23S ribosomal RNA intergenic spacer". It matches the Rfam family "Bacterial small subunit ribosomal RNA". The record is from RNAcentral. Lineage: Bacteria; Pseudomonadati; Pseudomonadota; Betaproteobacteria; Burkholderiales; Alcaligenaceae.